CACAUAAAUGCCUUCAUUGUAACCCAGAAAACCUCGUCAGAUAACUUAUGGAAUUUAUUGUCUGUAGUCUACUACUACUAUGGUGUUCACCAGUUGCUGCAUGAUAUUAUGAACUGUUCACUGAUGAAGAAAUAGACCGAGAGAAGGGCAAGUGACUAACCCACGUUUCCAAGCUAGAAAGUUACUGAACCAUAUAUGCCUCAUGGGAGGGCAAGACAAACAAGUGUGAUUAUAUGGUAGGUGGACUGAAAGGCCAAUGUAUUGUUUUUAAUUGGCAGAUCUGAUAGGUGGGGGGCCCUAAACUAUGUCUGCUGAUUUCUGACUAGUAUUCUUGUCUAGCAACGUGGCAUUGAAGAAAGAGUGUGAGCUUUGGAGUCAGCAUGUUGUAUUAAAGCCUGGCUGCUUUUU
Molecule: long non-coding RNA, 408 nt
Filed under: Monodelphis domestica (gray short-tailed opossum)
Lineage: Eukaryota; Metazoa; Chordata; Mammalia; Didelphimorphia; Didelphidae
Description: lncRNA (ENSMODG00000044696.1)
Source: RNAcentral